This 349-nucleotide unclassified non-coding RNA is filed under the name soil metagenome. RNAcentral's name for it is "partial contains 5.8S ribosomal RNA, internal transcribed spacer 2, and large subunit ribosomal RNA". The stretch from base 1 to 120 matches the Rfam family "5.8S ribosomal RNA", at positions 35 to 154 of the family's 154-position model. The record is from RNAcentral.
GAUGAAGAACGCAGUGAAAUGCGAUAAGUAAUGUGAAUUGCAGAAUUCAGUGAAUCAUCGAAUCUUUGAACGCACAUUGCGCCCGCCAGUAUUCUGGCGGGCAUGCCUGUCUGAGCGUCAUUUCAACCCUCAUGCCCCUAGGGCGUGGUGUUGGGGAUCGGCCAAAGCCCGCGAGGGACGGCCGGCCCCUAAAUCUAGUGGCGGACCCGUCGUGGCCUCCUCUGCGAAGUAGUGAUAUUCCGCAUCGGAGAGCGAUGAGCCCCUGCCGUUAAACCCCCAACUUUCCAAGGUUGACCUCAGAUCAGGUAGGAAUACCCGCUGAACUUAAGCAUAUCAAUAAGCGGAGGAA